GAUGAACGCUAGCGGGAGGCCUAACACAUGCAAGCCGAGCGGUAGAGUCCCUUCGGAGACUUGAGAGCGGCGCACGGGUGCGGAACACGUGUGCAACCUGCCUUUAUCUGGGGGAUAGCCUUUCGAAAGGAAGAUUAAUACCCCAUAAUAUACUGGAUGGCAUCAUCUGGUAUUGAAAACUCCGGUGGAUAGAGAUGGGCACGCGCAAGAUUAGAUAGUUGGUGAGGUAACGGCUCACCAAGUCAGCGAUCUUUAGGGGGCCUGAGAGGGUGAUCCCCCACACUGGUACUGAGACACGGACCAGACUCCUACGGGAGGCAGCAGUGAGGAAUAUUGGACAAUGGGUGAGAGCCUGAUCCAGCCAUCCCGCGUGAAGGACGACGGCCCUAUGGGUUGUAAACUUCUUUUGUAUAGGGAUAAACCUAGAUACGUGUAUCUAGCUGAAGGUACUAUACGAAUAAGCACCGGCUAACUCCGUGCCAGCAGCCGCGGUAAUACGGAGGGUGCAAGCGUUAUCCGGAUUUAUUGGGUUUAAAGGGUCCGUAGGCUGAUUUGUAAGUCAGUGGUGAAAUCUCACAGCUUAACUGUGAAACUGCCAUUGAUACUGCAAGUCUUGAGUGUUGUUGAAGUAGCUGGAAUAAGUAGUGUAGCGGUGAAAUGCAUAGAUAUUACUUAGAACACCAAUUGCGAAGGCAGGUUACUAAGCAACAACUGACGCUGAUGGACGAAAGCGUGGGGAGCGAACAGGAUUAGAUACCCUGGUAGUCCACGCCGUAAACGAUGCUAACUCGUUUUUGGGUUUUCGGAUUCAGAGACUAAGCGAAAGUGAUAAGUUAGCCACCUGGGGAGUACGAACGCAAGUUUGAAACUCAAAGGAAUUGACGGGGGCCCGCACAAGCGGUGGAUUAUGUGGUUUAAUUCGAUGAUACGCGAGGAACCUUACCAAGGCUUAAAUGGGAAAUGACAGGUUUAGAAAUAGACUUUUCUUCGGACAUUUUUCAAGGUGCUGCAUGGUUGUCGUCAGCUCGUGCCGUGAGGUGUUAGGUUAAGUCCUGCAACGAGCGCAACCCCUGUCACUAGUUGCCAUCAUUAAGUUGGGGACUCUAGUGAGACUGCCUACGCAAGUAGAGAGGAAGGUGGGGAUGACGUCAAAUCAUCACGGCCCUUACGCCUUGGGCCACACACGUAAUACAAUGGCCGGUACAGAGGGCAGCUACACAGUGAUGUGAUGCAAAUCUCGAAAGCCGGUCUCAGUUCGGAUUGGAGUCUGCAACUCGACUCUAUGAAGCUGGAAUCGCUAGUAAUCGCGCAUCAGCCAUGGCGCGGUGAAUACGUUCCCGGGCCU
This 1345-nucleotide ribosomal RNA is filed under the name uncultured bacterium. RNAcentral describes it as "bacterial SSU rRNA". It matches the Rfam family "Bacterial small subunit ribosomal RNA", at positions 28 to 1381 of the family's 1533-position model. The record is from RNAcentral.